GGAAAAGCGUCGCCGCCGAUCCGAAGCGUAAGGGGGGCGUCGGGAAGGACGAUGGGGGGCUAGGGGGAGGACGCGCACAAAAAGGACCCAAAGAGUGAGAGUUGUCACGCACACGGUUUGAUUGGGCUGCCGCUGCUUGCAUGCUGCUGAUCGAUAUUGAGAGAUUCGCCCUCAUCUCGUCUGGUUCGCGCGCAGUGGCGCCACUGAAGGGGCGCCCUUUGUAGAUAUUCUUGUUUUCGAGAGAUCGCUACCGGUCAGUGGUCGAGAAGGUCUUACAUUUGGAAGAAAAAAAUUGUUAUGACGUCUGUAAACAACCAUAUGCUGGGGUCGCGAGAACAACCCACCAAAUUUGCUUAAUUCACACAUCUCGCAUGAAAAUUAAUAAUUUGUUUCCAGGGAACAAAUUGUACAUUUCAAAUUGCCAGUGGCCCCCGCGGGGGGGUUGUGUGUACGUCGUCUUAGGGGCGAUAAAUCAUCCCGCUCUCUCGAGCAUGCAACGGCGCGGAGGGAGAGGGAGGAAAAACCCGAGACGUCCGGCAUGAUUGCCGCGAGAUCGAACCUUGGGGAGCCGGGGAGAUUGAACGCACCAGGGCCUUCAUCCACCCCUCGCCCCUUAUCCCAGGCAUUCUGAGAAAGCCACCCCUCGACCCCCGCAGAAAUAAGUGUAGCCGCAAGAAACGGCGUCCGGCCGUACGCAGCAAGAAGACAGACGGAACGCUAAACGUUCUUUAAACGGCUCCUUUUUGAUUAAAACUUGGUGCUUCGACCUUUCGAGUUUAAACCGUGGCAUUUGCAGAGUUGAGGCUCGACAAAAGCUUCUCCAUUAUGGAUAUUCCUGCGAGAGAUAUGACGACCCGGAGGCGGUGCGCCCGCCUCCGGCAAACCGGAAAUGGAAACCGCCUCAUUGACUUGGAAACGAGGCAUAUAUCUCACGUUGGAAACGGCCGUCGUCUUCCUUUCUAAUAAUCCUGGAUUUUUCUCCGGGAUGCCGGACGAAUAAGUACGAAGCGGAAAGUUUACCGCACCCAUUCACCCCCUCGCGGGGACACAAUAUGAAAGUUUUGUCCGAUUGCCGGGGCGCGGCGGCGGCAGCGGUGACGCCACUCGUUGAAGGGGAGGGAGGGUCUUGAUGUCCCCCCGCUCCCCUAGCACCCGAACGACUAAUGAAUUGGAUGUGUAUUCGACAAUGUCAACAUGGGAGAACCGAAGAAGUCACAAUCUAAUCCCGCGGGCUGAUUGGCUUUUGGUCCACCGUUUUUCAAUUGAGAGGGGGGUCAGCUAGAGUUUACCUUUGAAGUUUACUUUGCCGGGGUAGUCCAGUCAACAACAAAAUAAAGAAGUUAAGAUGGAGUAUGUGACAAGAGACAAAACACGACACAACAAAAAAGGCAGUUAAAAGGAAACGUAAGAAGACCACAAGAUGGGGCCGAAGUUAUCUUCGGAAAAGGAUAAAACUUAACGAGAAGUUCGAAACCUGCAAAAGGACGGGGUACUGUGUUAUCCUCCAAUAGAGGAAGAAGAAUUAUAAUAAAAAGAAGACAACACAACAAUUACGAAUGACUAUUUGGCUUUAUGUAAGAUAAGGUUGUUGCUGACCCACCACUACGGUCGGUUGUUGUGGUAGUCCAUAGAAGAAAAACUCAACCUAUUCCACAUUCGAUCUUAAGUAAAUGGAACCAAAUAUUUGGCAGCCUCAUUUGUCAACAGGAAUACUCCCUUCGCGCAUUAUUUGGGUUCAA
Cylas formicarius (sweet potato weevil) is the source of this 1739-nucleotide long non-coding RNA. RefSeq lists it as uncharacterized. The record is from RefSeq and is a predicted model, not a curated record. The transcript has 6 exons. NCBI's taxonomy places the organism in Eukaryota, Metazoa, Arthropoda, Insecta, Coleoptera, Brentidae.